RNAcentral lists this ribosomal RNA (253 nucleotides) under uncultured bacterium. RNAcentral describes it as "partial 16S ribosomal RNA". It matches the Rfam family "Bacterial small subunit ribosomal RNA", at positions 524 to 776 of the family's 1533-position model. The record is from RNAcentral.
UACGAAGGGGGCUAGCGUUGUUCGGAAUCACUGGGGGUAAAGCGCACGUAGGCUGCGCGUUAAGCCAGGGGUGAAAUCCUGGAGCUCAACUCCAGAACUGCCUUUGAUACUGGCGUGCUCGAGUGUGGGAGAGGUUGGUGGAACUCCGAGUGUAGAGGUGAAAUUCGUAGAUAUUCGGAAGAACACCAGUGGCGAAGGCGGCCAACUGGCCCAUUUCUGACGCUGAGGUGCGAAAGCGUGGGGAGCAAACAGG